RNAcentral lists this ribosomal RNA (543 nucleotides) under uncultured Mycobacterium sp. RNAcentral's name for it is "bacterial SSU rRNA". It matches the Rfam family "Bacterial small subunit ribosomal RNA", at positions 54 to 606 of the family's 1533-position model. The record is from RNAcentral. Lineage: Bacteria; Bacillati; Actinomycetota; Actinomycetes; Mycobacteriales; Mycobacteriaceae.
CAUGCAAGUCGAACGGAAAGUGCCCAGCUUGCUGGGUGACUCGAGUGGCGAACGGGUGAGUAACACGUGGGUGAUCUGCCCUGCACUUUGGGAUAAGCCUGGGAAACUGGGUCUAAUACCGAAUACACCCUGCUGGUCGCAUGGCCUGGUGGGGGAAAGCUUUUGCGGUGUGGGAUGGGCCCGCGGCCUAUCAGCUUGUUGGUGGGGUGAUGGCCUACCAAGGCGACGACGGGUAGCCGGCCUGAGAGGGUGUCCGGCCACACUGGGACUGAGAUACGGCCCAGACUCCUACGGGAGGCAGCAGUGGGGAAUAUUGCACAAUGGGCGCAAGCCUGAUGCAGCGACGCCGCGUGAGGGAUGACGGCCUUCGGGUUGUAAACCUCUUUCAAUAGGGACGAAGCGCAAGUGACGGUACCUAUAGAAGAAGCACCGGCCAACUACGUGCCAGCAGCCGCGGUAAUACGUAGGGUGCGAGCGUUGUCCGGAAUUACUGGGCGUAAAGAGCUCGUAGGUGGUUUGUCGCGUUGUUCGUGAAAACUCACA